Long non-coding RNA from Triticum aestivum (bread wheat), 3405 nucleotides. RefSeq lists it as uncharacterized. The record is from RefSeq and is a predicted model, not a curated record. The transcript is spliced from 4 exons. Lineage: Eukaryota; Viridiplantae; Streptophyta; Magnoliopsida; Poales; Poaceae.
ACGCCAUACUCGCCUUGAAUGCAAAUCUAUGGCUCCUCUCCCCCCAGCGCCGCAGCCAUUUUCGCCAAGAGGAGAGAGGGAGCGAGAAGAAGAACAGGCGAGACGACGCGCCAUGGAGUUCCUCCUGCAGCCAAUCUGCAGAUCCACUAUUUUUGAGGUCGGAAGAGUCUCGUGCCGGAAGAUUUGCCGGUAGAUGGGACAAGGCGAAUGGUGGUGGAGGUGGCGCUGCAGGAGGGUAUGGUUUUGAGCGGGUCUGCUGGGCGUCAGGAGCGGCGGCGAUGCGGCCAAUGACGAAUCUGCAGCGCUGCACCGGCAGCGGCGAUGAGCGGCGAAGGUCCGAUCUGCAGCGAGGCGCUGAGGGCAGCGGUGAGAAAGGACAGCUCGCCUCCCAUGUCUGAGCUGUCAACGUGGAAGAUGAAUCCCCAGGCUCCUGGUUCGAAUAAGAGGUUGCUGGUUAUUGAUAGUUUAAUCUGUGAGUCCCGCAUUAAUUCCUGAUAGCAUGAUUGCUUAGUGCUGCUCCUAUGAAGAAUUUGAAGUAUUGAAUUGUCAGGCCGUCUAUGGGCAUGCAUUGUUGCUUAUGAUUUUUUGUUCUAGUAAUACAUGGUUUAAUGUAUUGGUUACCGUAGUUUGAAUUGUAAAUUUGUGGUUGGUGGAUUAGAAUGGUUGACAGAACCAUGUGUGAUCCAUUAUCCGGUUGCGGAUUGGUGUUGCUGGCCAAGCAGGGCACCUUGUCCAACCCGUGUAAGAGCGUUCGAGAAGGCAGUGAGGGUGUUCGCGGUAAAGCCGACGAUUUCUACACCGUGUAUUCAUGGGAGAAGGGAUUUGGGAUUAGAUAUGGGUAAAGUCGGCUAAAUGUGCAGAGAACAAAGUGCAUGCAGGAAAUUUUCUACAGAUGUUCGGGGAAAGCUCGUGUGGAGAGCACAAUGUUCUGUCGAUGUGAAUGCCCAGGAUUGAUAAGGCUUUUAUAGACAGAGGACAAUGGGUGGUAUAUCGCCGAGCAAUGGGAGAGUCAUAACCAUUCACUUUUGCCAAAUUUCGGUGAGACAAUCCACUGGCCGUCCCACAAGCACAUUUAUGUGUACAGGAGGGACCUGAUAAAACACUUGCGGCAGAAUAAUGUCAACCUUGCGAAGGUGUAUAGCACAGUAGGCAGUUUUUUUGGAUCGUUGGAAAAUGUGCCAUUCACGAAGAGGUCUUUGUGUAAUCUGUGUGGCAUGAUUAGCAGGAAACAAUCAGAUGAUGAUGUAAGGAAAACGACGGAGGUGUUUGCAGAAAUUGGAGCAAAGGACCUCAUUUCACAUGCAGAGUUCAGGCUGACAAAGAGGGCAGGAUCAAGAACCUUAUGUGGGUAAGCGGGAGCAGCAGGUUGCAGUACACGUUUUCGGUGAUGUGUUAACAUUUGACACAGCCUUUCGGCCUUGGUGUGAAUAAUCAUUUCCAGAGUGUUAUCCUGGCUGGAGUGCUUGUGUGUGAUGGAACCAUCAAGAGUUUUGAAUGAGUUUUCUCUGAAUUUCUGAGAAUGAUGGGUGGCGCUGCACCGAUAACUAUACUUACCGGUAAGUUCUUCAUUUCAUGGCUGUCAUUUAUAUGGUGGUGUUUUCAAGGCCUAAAAAAUAUGAUCAAUGUUGACUUUUAAGAAGUUGCUGCAGCUACAACACUUUGCCUCCUUGCCUAAUGGCCCAAGAUCCACACAUAGGUACAUGUUGCUCCUUUGCCUUUUAAUCCAGGAAAGUGAAAUAACUAGUUUAGGUUUUGUGAUAGAUUUAGCAAGUGUGAAUUUCGUAUUACUGUGACAUAGUUAGUAGGUGUGAAUUUCAGACUAGUGUAUGUGUGAAUUAGAGAAUAUUUGACAUGGAUUCAGAUUAGUGUGGGAGUUCUUUGACUCCAUGUUGUGUAAAUGUUAGUUUUGUUAGCUAGAUGAUGAUGGUCCAUGCCUGACAAUCCUGUAUGUUGCAUGUACUACCCAUGUUUUGAUAGAGAAAAAGGAAAAACAAUGAGUUAUUGUUGCUGCCAUGAAACCCCCAAUAUGAAUGGCAUUCAUGAAAUUACACAGAGAAACUUCUCGCAUUAGCAACACUGAGUUGUGAAUUUCUUCUUCUUAUUAACAACAGAUGUAUCUGUCUUGUCAUCAUAAAAUAAAAUUUGGACCGUCAUGGGUCAUCUACUCUCUGUGUGUAAUAGUAACUUGGACAGACAGAGGGUGAACUGAGAUGGGGCUUUGUAAUAGUACAUAUAUUUAUAUACAGGAGAGCUUAAGAAGCGCCAGUGACUGGUUAUUAAUACUACUAGAUGUAGUUGAUUUUCAGGUUGUCCGUCAAUGUUUUAGUCUUUUAGUUAUGUUGUUGGGUGCUUGUACUCUGCCUCAAUUGUUCUGCCACAAAGCACAAGCAAGCUGCGGUUUCUAGUGUGAGAGUCUACAAUGCUAGUCAUCUUUAAAAUGUUUUCAUUUUUAGCUGAGAUAUAUUGUCACUAUAGUACUCCUUCAGUACAUAAACCUGCCAUGGAAAUGUUUGAUUGCAGCCCAGAAAUCAGCCUUGCCAUGUAGUAACAUGCAAACCAUAGUUCAGCCACAAUAUGUAGGGAAAUGUUUGGUUAACAGUAUUUUUUUUCUGGAGAAAUAGCCUAGCAAGGACAAUGGAACUAGUAAGAAGAAAAUGGCUGCGCAAAAGUUUCAUCACUUAAUUUACUUUUCGGCGUUCUGAAGUUGUAGAGCACACGACCAUUAGUCAUGCGCACUGCUGCUGCAAUCUCUUUUGGUUCUUCCUGAAAGUCUAAAGAAUUUCACACGUCAAACAGCUUGUCCACUAGUGCCUUGUCUUUGUAUCUUUCUCCUGAUUACGAAAACGCUUAUGAGCAUCCAAGAAUGGUACUACUGCUAGAAACUUAGCACGAUCAUCCUGAUUUUCUGUUUUUGAUACAGUAAUGGUGUCGUCUUUUGGUUGUUCUCCUUUGACAUAACAAUGAUGUUGGUUCUCUUUUGGUUGUUCUACAAUAGGCAUUUUGCAAGGCAUGUAGACAAGUCGAUCCCCCUUUUCAUUCUAGCAUGAUGCACUUUGUUGGAAUUCUGAAGAUUAAUGUGUCAUUAGUGCUCCUAUGAAUUCUGAAGCAAAACAAUAGGCAGCAAGAAACCAAGCAUCACCCUGGUUGUCCUAUGAAUUCUGAAGAUUAAUGUGUCACGAGUACUCUGUACUCAUAUAUGUGGAGUUGUCAGCAUUGAGGGCAUUAUCUAAAGAUUAUUAUUCUGCUAUUCCAUCUAAACUGUAGUUACCUUAUUCUGCAAUGUUCAGGGACCAUGCUGUAAUUUUGUUUUUCUUACGGGUCUUUGUGCAAGCUGUACUGAAUUUCCAGAUUUAAUAUAAUGCAGCUCCAGCCGAUGCUAUAUGUUAUGGGAAUUUUCAGGGACCA